RNAcentral lists this transfer RNA (64 nucleotides) under Antarctonemertes valida. Its description in RNAcentral is "tRNA-Lys". Lineage: Eukaryota; Metazoa; Nemertea; Enopla; Monostilifera; Oerstediidae. The record is from RNAcentral.
CUUUUGAUAGCUUAAUUUUAAAGCUUUAGAUUUUUACUCUGAUUAUGGAAUUUUCCUCAUUGGG